CGGAUGUUGUCAUCCGCGCUAGCAGCAGCAGCUAACAUCAUACGGAGCUAAUUAUCAGUUAUUAUCAGUUAUAAUCGAUCAAUACUGAUCAUCAUUGAUCAUCACUGAUUGGCUGGUUCGGGCGGAGCAGUUCCAGUUUGACUCGGUGAUGAUGUCAGAGGAGCAGACAGUGUCUCUGGUCGACGUCCUGGAGGAAGAUGAGGAAUUGGAGGAAGAAGCUUCAGCUGUGUUGGCAGGAAGUGACUCUGAUCACUGCUCGUACCCCGAGGGCUACGUGCAGCGGCAGGCUCUCUAUGCGUGUAACACGUGUUCUCCUAAAGGAGGCGCAGCAGCAGGCGUGUGCUUAGCGUGUUCAUACAAAUGCCACGAAGGUCACGACCUGUUCGAGCUCUACACCAAGAGGUAUGACAUCAUCAUUAUUGAUUAUCCAAGAGGUAUGACAUCAUCAUUAUUGAUUAUCCAAGAGGUAUGACAUCAUCAUUAUUGAUUAUCCAAGAGGUAUGACAUCAUCAUUAUUGAUUAUCCAAGAGGUAUGACAUCAUUAUUAUUGAUUAUCCAAGAGGUAUGACAUCAUUAUUA
Molecule: long non-coding RNA, 579 nt
Organism: Scomber scombrus (Atlantic mackerel)
Lineage: Eukaryota; Metazoa; Chordata; Actinopteri; Scombriformes; Scombridae
Exons: 3
Source: RefSeq, a predicted model, not a curated record